This 207-nucleotide long non-coding RNA is filed under the name Elaeis guineensis (African oil palm). RNAcentral describes it as "long non-coding RNA (EGUI_LNC040177)". Lineage: Eukaryota; Viridiplantae; Streptophyta; Magnoliopsida; Arecales; Arecaceae. The record is from RNAcentral.
CUUGGAAGGCCCAGGACCACAGUGAUGAUUGCUCACAAUGAUGAUUCCUAUACCAGAAUCAUGUCCAUCUUUGUAGCUUUUAUUAAUUUCUAGGGACAAUCGAGUACACUGGUCAGCCAUGGCUUUGCAAUGAUAGAGAGCUUAAGGAGAUCUUGCAUUGGAUCAAGUAAGGUUUUGAACCUAAACAACGGUGGCAAUAUGGUUUAC